This 465-nucleotide ribosomal RNA is filed under the name uncultured bacterium. RNAcentral's name for it is "partial 16S ribosomal RNA". It matches the Rfam family "Bacterial small subunit ribosomal RNA", at positions 338 to 795 of the family's 1533-position model. The record is from RNAcentral.
CCUACGGGAGGCAGCAGUAGGGAAUCUUCCACAAUGGGCGCAAGCCUGAUGGAGCAACACCGCGUGAGUGAAGAAGGGUUUCGGCUCGUAAAGCUCUGUUGUUGGAGAAGAACGUGCGUGAGAGUAACUGUUCACGCAGUGACGGUAUCCAACCAGAAAGUCACGGCUAACUACGUGCCAGCAGCCGCGGUAAUACGUAGGUGGCAAGCGUUAUCCGGAUUUAUUGGGCGUAAAGCGAGCGCAGGCGGUUGCUUAGGUCUGAUGUGAAAGCCUUCGGCUUAACCGAAGAAGUGCAUCGGAAACCGGGCGACUUGAGUGCAGAAGAGGACAGUGGAACUCCAUGUGUAGCGGUGGAAUGCGUAGAUAUAUGGAAGAACACCAGUGGCGAAGGCGGCUGUCUGGUCUGCAACUGACGCUGAGGCUCGAAAGCAUGGGUAGCGAACAGGAUUAGAUACCCCAGUAGUC